UACGUAGGUGGCGAGCGUUAUCCGGAUUUAUUGGGCGUAAGGCGUGCGCAGGCGGCUUAUUAAGUCUAAGAUUAAAGCCCGGAGCUUAACUCCGGUUCGUCUUAGAAACUGGUAGGCUUGAGUAUGGUAGAGGCAAACGGAAUUCCUAGUGUAGCGGUGGAAUGCGUAGAUAUUAGGAGGAACACCAGUGGCGAAGGCGGUUUGCUGGGCCAUUACUGACGCUCAUGCACGAAAGCGUGGGGAGCAAAUAGG
This 252-nucleotide ribosomal RNA is filed under the name uncultured bacterium. Its description in RNAcentral is "partial 16S ribosomal RNA". It matches the Rfam family "Bacterial small subunit ribosomal RNA", at positions 524 to 776 of the family's 1533-position model. The record is from RNAcentral.